UACAGAGGUCCCAAGCGUUGUUCGGAUUCACUGGGCGUAAAGGGUGCGUAGGCGGUCGGGUAAGUCUGACGUGAAAUCUUCAAGCUCAACUUGGAAACUGCGUCGGAUACUAUUCGGCUAGAGGAAUGGAGGGGAGACUGGAAUACUUGGUGUAGCAGUGAAAUGCGUAGAUAUCAAGUGGAACACCAGUGGCGAAGGCGAGUCUCUGGACGGCAACUGACGCUGAGGCACGAAAGCGUGGGGAGCAAACAGG
This 253-nucleotide ribosomal RNA is filed under the name uncultured bacterium. RNAcentral describes it as "partial 16S ribosomal RNA". It matches the Rfam family "Bacterial small subunit ribosomal RNA", at positions 524 to 776 of the family's 1533-position model. The record is from RNAcentral.